This 1299-nucleotide long non-coding RNA is filed under the name Nicotiana tabacum (common tobacco). Its description in RNAcentral is "long non-coding RNA (NTAB_LNC003107)". Lineage: Eukaryota; Viridiplantae; Streptophyta; Magnoliopsida; Solanales; Solanaceae. The record is from RNAcentral.
UUUUUUUUUUUUUUUUUGUGAGAAGAAGCUCAAACCAAAUAUUCGACACGUCCAAAUGGAUUAAUUCUAAAUCGAACCUAAAAAUCUGAUCCAAUCUAAGCUUAUUUGGAUUGUAGUAAUUUCUUCAAUUUAAAAAUCAAAAAUCAAGACAACAAUUUUAAUAUUUAACUCGAAUUGCCCAAACACUCACCCCUAGUGCAGGGUGGAGAGAGAGUAGAGACGAGAAAGAAUAAUACUACAUUAGAAAUGAAUGACGAAACAAAAGUGAUCAAUUUUAAAGCUUAGUGAUUUACAUUGUCGAAGUGCAAUUAUAACCAUCUUGCCUAUUAUUCUUAAGAGUACAUCAAUGUAUGAGCUAUAAACAAGAAUUGCAUUAAUCAAAUAGAGAAAAAAAAACUACUAACAAGAGAAAGAUUAACACACAACCAAUAGAACUCUACAAAAGAUUAACAAUCACAGCCAGAUGUCUCAUCUGAUUUUAACAUGUUGCAUAGUAGACCAUUCUCUGUUUCGGUUGCUUCCUCAUAUUUUAGCAAGAUACCCCCCCCCCCACCCCAAACCAAACCCAAAGACAGUAAAAUGCAGGAUUUAGGCGGUAAUACACGAAUUCCAGCAAAGGAAGCAACGAAUAAGAAACUAAUACACAUCUCGAGAAACUGUUUUGUUUGCAUCAUGUUUAUCAAAUCAAAACAUACCCCCCUCCUUGGCCAGGGGGGAAUAAACAAAGCUGGUGAAUUUCACCCAUCUAACUAGAAAGUAAACUUUAUUAUGAGUCACGGAAAUAUUAAUGCAUCAUCAUACAUGCACUUACAGGCAUGACAUAUGUGCCCCUCUUCAAGAAGGUCAUACCUUUCUAUAUUUCAAAUACAUGCUUGUUUCCCAGAUGUAGGAACAUUCUAUACUGUGCUUAAAUGCGUGACCUUGAAGCUGAAGAUGUAGAAGCAGGUGCACUCUGCAGCACAAGAAAUGAUACCAAUAAGUAAUGAUUUUAACAUAUGUACAAAACAUAAAAGCAAGCAAUCCGAGUUAAAAUGCACACAAUUGCCAGCUGUCAGUGGCAACUUUUUCUUCCAGGUUGACCACAUAUCGAUGAGGUUGAGCAAUAGUGGCAGUGCAACAGCUAACAUUACCUCUCAUCCUCUUCUUACUUCAUCCUCCUCCAAAGAACAUUACUAACACCCUUUAUUUUCUUUGAUUUGGCAACAAUGGGAGCUCAGACUGAUGAUUAUUUUUAUCAGACACUUACGAUAAUCUGAUUACCAAAGUCAUCAAUAAUUGGAAUUCAACUGUAUAUGCAUA